This 468-nucleotide ribosomal RNA is filed under the name uncultured bacterium. Its description in RNAcentral is "partial 16S ribosomal RNA". It matches the Rfam family "Bacterial small subunit ribosomal RNA", at positions 28 to 507 of the family's 1533-position model. The record is from RNAcentral.
GACGAACGCUGGCGGCGUGCUUAACACAUGCAAGUCGAACGGAAAGGCCCUGCUUUUGUGGGGUGCUCGAGUGGCGAACGGGUGAGUAACACGUGAGUAACCUGCCCUUGACUUUGGGAUAACUUCAGGAAACUGGGGCUAAUACCGGGUAGGAGCUCCUGCUGCAUGGUGGGGGUUGGAAAGUUUCGGCGGUUGGGGAUGGACUCGCGGCUUAUCAGCUUGUUGGUGGGGUAGUGGCUUACCAAGGCUUUGACGGGUAGCCGGCCUGAGAGGGUGACCGGCCACAUUGGGACUGAGAUACGGCCCAGACUCCUACGGGAGGCAGCAGUGGGGAAUAUUGCACAAUGGGCGGAAGCCUGAUGCAGCAACGCCGCGUGCGGGAUGACAGCCUUCGGGUUGUAAACCGCUUUCGCCUGUGACGAAGCGUGAGUGACGGUAAUGGGUAAAGAAGCACCGGCUAACUACGUG